GACUAGAGUAGGGCGGGACACGUGAAAUCCUGUCUGAACAUGGGGGGACCACCCUCCAAGCCUAAAUACUCGUACAUGACCGAUAGCGAACUAAGUACCGUGAGGGAAAGGUGAAAAGAACCCUAAGUAAGGGAGUGAAAGAGAACCUGAAACCGUACGCCUACAAGCGGUCGGAGCACAUUUACUGUGUGACGGCGUGCCUUUUGCAUAAUGAGCCUACGAGUUACUGUUUCUAGCAAGGUUAAGUGUUUAAGACAUGGAGCCGUAGCGAAAGCGAGUCUGAAUAGGGCGCACUAGUUAGAGGGGGUAGACGCGAAACCUGGUGAUCUACCCAUGGUCAGGUUGAAGUGACAGUAACAUGUCAUGGAGGACCGAACUGAUAUACGUUGAAAAGUGUUCAGAUGAACUGUGGGUAGGGGUGAAAGGCCAAUCAAACUAGGAAAUAGCUCGUACUCCCCGAAAUGUUUUUAGGAACAGCGUGG
RNAcentral lists this ribosomal RNA (482 nucleotides) under Oxyrrhis marina. RNAcentral describes it as "partial Bacterial large subunit ribosomal RNA". It matches the Rfam family "Bacterial large subunit ribosomal RNA", at positions 405 to 884 of the family's 2925-position model. The record is from RNAcentral. Lineage: Eukaryota; Dinophyceae; Oxyrrhinales; Oxyrrhinaceae.